This 807-nucleotide ribosomal RNA is filed under the name uncultured Planctomycetota bacterium. RNAcentral describes it as "bacterial SSU rRNA". It matches the Rfam family "Bacterial small subunit ribosomal RNA", at positions 46 to 832 of the family's 1533-position model. The record is from RNAcentral. Lineage: Bacteria; Pseudomonadati; Planctomycetota.
GGAUUAGGCAUGCAAGUCGUACGAGACCCUCGCUUCGGUGAGGUGAAAGUGGCGAACGGGUGAGUAAUGCAUAGCUAACCUACCCUUGGGGCUGGGAUAACCAGGAGAAAUCUUGGCUAAUACCGGAUAGGCUCACGGAGUUGCAUAAUUCUGUGAGUAAAGCAGGCCUCUUAACAAUGCUUGCACCCGGGGACGGGACUAUGUCCUAUCAGCUAGUUGGUAGGGUAAUGGCCUACCAAGGCGAUGACGGGUAGCCGACCUGAGAGGGUGACCGGCCACACUGGGACUGAGACACUGCCCAGACUCCUACGGGAGGCUGCAGUCGAGAAUCUUCCGCAAUGGGGGCAACCCUGACGGAGCGACGCCGCGUGUGGGAUGAAGGCCUUCGGGUUGUAAACCACUGUCACGCAUUAUGAAGGGCUCGGCGUUAACAGCGCUGGGCUUUGACAAAGGUGCGGGAGGAAGCCACGGCUAACUCUGUGCCAGCAGCCGCGGUAAGACAGAGGUGGCGACCGUUGUUCGGAAUCACUGGGCAUAAAGCGCGUGUAGGCGGCAUCGUAAGUCGGGUGUGAAAUCCCUCGGCCCAACCGAGGAAUUGCGCCCGAAACUACCUUGCUUGAGGACCAGAGGGGAGCCUGGAAUUCCUGGUGGAGCGGUGAAAUGCGUUGAUAUCAGGAGGAACACCGGCGGCGAAGGCGAGGCUCUGGCUGGUUACUGACGCUGAGACGCGAAAGCUAGGGGAGCAAACGGGAUUAGAUACCCCGGUAGUCCUAGCCGUAAACGAUGGGCACUAAGUAGAGGGGUUUU